Molecule: long non-coding RNA, 1598 nt
Filed under: Olea europaea subsp. europaea
Lineage: Eukaryota; Viridiplantae; Streptophyta; Magnoliopsida; Lamiales; Oleaceae
Source: RNAcentral
CUGAAAUCGUAAGCUACGAGCACUGUCUGCAAUAAUUUCCCUAGAAAUGUUCAAUAGAUUUGAAAAAAUAAACACGAUUUUAGUACAAUCACGGAAGCAAAAGUUAACCUUAAACUACGUAUUUGAACGCACAGAAAAAAAUAUUAGACUAUACACAAAGCCCAUAUGAAAAACAUAUUUGUCUAGUUACAAUGUGUUUAAACAUUGAUCUAGGAUUUACAUAACUAACCAGGGAGGGAGAAUGAUUACCGAAAAAUAGAAGAGAAAACUCUGAUUGUGGAAGAAACGGAAGGGAGAUGCAGGCAACCGAAAUUCUAACAAAUCAUAUAUUGACACGUUCUGAGCGCAUGGAUUGAGAGAUUGCUUCGGCAUGCAGAAUACCAUUGCUGGGAUAUAUAAUCUAAUUAUUAUUAUUUUUUUCACGCUUCAACUUUUGCAGCUAUGGGCAUCCUGUCAAAUGGAAAUUACGCGGCCACAAAUACUUAAAGAUCACUUUUCAUAUUCCAAGGCUGAAGUUUAUUUGUGCAGUUUUCAGGUACGUAUAUAACAACUCCAAGCCCUAAUUCAAUUUCAAACCCUUAUUUCAUUCCUCCCACCCUCGCUCCCACUCCCAAACUCACUCUCCGGUCUCUGCCUCUCAUCUCUUCCUCUCUAUCAAACGUUGCCACCACCGCCGAAGCACCCACCGUCAGACACCAACACCGUCUCCACCACGCGAUGCUAUUGUGAUGAAGAGAUCAGAGAUGGCGAUGCUGCUGCAAUUUGUGGUGCUGCUGGGAUCUAAAAUCUUUUCCGAUCGAAGAUGGCGCUGCUCCUGUGAAAUCUGAGCACCGACAAGGUAAGCGUCGGUGCCGCGACAGGCUUCGGUGCCACGGUUGCUGCGAAGUCGUUACAGCAUCGAUCUGAGGCGUUGAUGGUGGUCGACGAUGUCGACUCGAUCUGGUCGUUGAAGGUAGACAACAUGUUAUAGUUUUGGGGCUUUUUUUGGUGGUUUGAAAUGGUAUUUUUGAGGCGAUUUUUUCGAUGUUUCUCGGUGGUUUUAUGGUGGUGCUAACGGGUUUUGUGGAGUUUUUGUCUGACUUUCGAUCUGGAGCUUCGAGGUCGUGGUUGAAGGUGUGGAAAUGUAAUGUUGUGGUGCAGUAUUGUUGGUGGUUGUGGUUUGGUGAAGGAGGUUAUAAUGUUGAAUUUGUGUUGUUAUUGUUAGUGGAGGUUAUGUUGGUGGCCUUGGCGACGGCCGCGACGGUGGUUAUGGUGGUGCAAGUUGGUGGUUUGGCGUGCGGCAGUGGUGAUGCAAGUUGGUGAUUUGGGUUGAUUGCUGGUGUGAUUUUUUUGGUUAGCGAUGGUCUGUGACCUUAAAAUUUAAUAAUCUAUAACCUCAAGGAUUUGAUCUGUGAGCUUAAAAUUUGAUAAUCUAUUAUUGAAAAAUAAUCUAUGACCUAUAAAUUUUUUGAUUUGUGACGUCAAAAUAAUCCGUUAUCAAAAUUUUUUAUUUGUGAUCUCGAAAUAAUAUGUGAUCAAUUAAUUUGAUAAUAUGUGAUCAUUAAAUAAAUUCGUGACCUAUAAUUUUGUAUCCAUGAGGAUCUUAACCAUUAAUCGUG